CCCUUCAUAGCUCAGUUGGAAGAGCGAAGGACUGUAAUCUUCGGUUAUCCUUAGGUCCCUGGUUCGAUCCCAGGUGAAGGGA
Molecule: transfer RNA, 82 nt
Filed under: Entomophthora muscae
Lineage: Eukaryota; Fungi; Entomophthoromycota; Entomophthoromycetes; Entomophthorales; Entomophthoraceae
Description: tRNA-Tyr
Rfam family: tRNA
About the family: Transfer RNA (tRNA) molecules are approximately 80 nucleotides in length. Their secondary structure includes four short double-helical elements and three loops (D, anti-codon, and T loops). Further hydrogen bonds mediate the characteristic L-shaped molecular structure. tRNAs have two regions of fundamental functional importance: the anti-codon, which is responsible for specific mRNA codon recognition, and the 3' end, to which the tRNAs corresponding amino acid is attached (by aminoacyl-tRNA synthetases). tRNAs cope with the degeneracy of the genetic code in two manners: having more than one tRNA (with a specific anti-codon) for a particular amino acid; and 'wobble' base-pairing, i.e. permitting non-standard base-pairing at the 3rd anti-codon position.
Source: RNAcentral